Molecule: non-coding RNA, 713 nt
Organism: Cricetulus griseus (Chinese hamster)
Lineage: Eukaryota; Metazoa; Chordata; Mammalia; Rodentia; Cricetidae
Source: RefSeq, a predicted model, not a curated record
GGUGGCUCCCGGUCGUUGGAGGGGGUUCUGUACUGCCGUCUUGGAGAUGAGCUGUUUAUUUUCUCCAAACGCUCUUGCCGUGAGACCUGGAAUGGUCAGUAAACCCGUUCAGGAGAAAAGGAUUAAGUGAAGUGCAGGAAAGACCAAAGUGACCGACCCAAGGAAUGGCCUAUGAUGGGAAGGAACUUGGAUAUCCUGUAUUCAACUCCCAUUAAAGAAAAACUAACAAAAGAACAGGACAGCAACUUACCUGGGAUCUAACAGGAACUCAGAAGAAGAAAGGCAUUCAUACUUGGUGUAUGUAGUGGCAGUUGAACUGAAUACUUCCCUUUAACUGACAUCUAUCAAACUCACCUUGUUCCUUAGCAACCUCAGAUAAUUUGGGUUUCUUGACCCCACAACAGCCUGCUGCCAACUUGGGCUCAAGGGGAGGAACACAACGUCUUUUUCCCAUCCUGAUUUGGUGUUUGUAAUCUGGAAUGCUGCAGAACCCUAACCCAAAAGAGAGCAGGAUGUAAAACUCCAAACUACUGUUCCUGUGUCAUGCCUGUACUUCUGCACCAAGAUCAUCAUGGAUUAAUCCUCUAAAACUGUAAGCAAGUCCCCAGUCAAAUACUUUCUUUUAAAAGAGUUGCCUUGGGCCAGGUGUGAUGGAGCACUUGGGAGGCAGAGUCAGGCAGAUCUCUGUGAGUUCAAGAACAUCCUGGUCAAAA